GUGACCCGUUCCAUCAAACCUUCGACGCCGCCCAGCUCACUUCCUCGAGCAGCGGGGCUGUUUUCCCUGAGGGAGCCAACCCAUUCCAAGAGCCAAAAAAAGGAACAAUAAAAGCAGCGCCAGGUGCAGGGUGUAAAGGCUCUAGGAGCCCUGGACGGGUGACAGCAAGCGGGCACGUGUGCCUCCCGUCCUUCCUGGAGGGAGGGAAGCCAAGGCGCAGGCCAGCGUGGUCCCUGCCUGUCCCCUGGGUGCGGGCAGGCACGCGGAAACCGGCCCUGGCCAGGCCAGCGGGCCAGGCCUCCCGUCUGCAGACAAAGGCCCUUUGUCUGGGAGGUGCUGGGGGACGCCACACUCUGCUGUUUCUAAAUUAACGUUUUCCCUUGAAUGCCAUCGAACUCCCGGAAAGCUGUUUCCACGGCCUGAUUCCUAAACCGCCUGUAGAACAAGGGAAAACGGUCAGCAGCGUGAAUGUGGGUCCUCAGGGAAGGGCGAAGUGCAGACGGCGCCCUGGAUGCCGAGGGCUGUUUAUCAACAGGGGAGGCCCAGUGUGGUGACAGAGGGAGGCGUGCCUUCAGCACAUCCAGAAGAAAUAAACACAGAAGCUGCACACAGAAGCCAACGGUGGUCGGAGCUGACGGCGGUGAGACUGUUCGCUGCGAAACUGAAAUGUCAGUUUCUUCAGUGUUGGUUUGAUGAAAGGAGCUUCAACCACGGUGACUGGACAACUGGGCAGAAGUGAACCGUCUAAAUACAUGAUUAAUUGAUUUUAAUUAAAAGGAAAAUUAGAUGCAGAAUAACUUACGUGUGAAGCAGAGUGAAACUCACUUUGUUCAGUUUCUCUGAGCAACCCUGCCAUCUUUAUUACAUAGUCUCCGACAGUCCUCCACUUGACCCCCAGAAAUAGAUUCUCUCACCGCAGGCAGGAGUCUAGAGCCCCUCACCUCAGUGACCCCAUCCGUUUCUGUGUCUGAAGGUUCUGCAGGACUUGGGGGCUGACUCAAAAUGACCAGAGAUAUUUCUUGAUUGAUGACAGUUCAAAACAUGUGUCACCAUCGCCCAGGAAGGAGGAAGGGAGGGUGGGUAUCAGCAACCACUGGACCUCACUGAGAAGGGUGGGUUGGAUGCUGCCACUGUAGCAGUGCUGGCCCAUUGGGUGGGGAUAGGAUCCAGAGCAUCAGAUUACACUGGACAGCAGGUCUGGGAAACAAUAGCGCCUUUGAUAUCACUUACUAAGAAGUGUCCCCAGUAUGUCCUUCUUCUCAGAAAUGGAACCAUUUCCUCUGCAACG
This 1288-nucleotide long non-coding RNA is filed under the name Chinchilla lanigera (long-tailed chinchilla). RNAcentral describes it as "lncRNA (ENSCLAG00000027659.1)". The record is from RNAcentral. Lineage: Eukaryota; Metazoa; Chordata; Mammalia; Rodentia; Chinchillidae.